RNAcentral lists this ribosomal RNA (59 nucleotides) under Ruminococcus sp. AF14-10. Its description in RNAcentral is "partial 23S ribosomal RNA". The record is from RNAcentral. Lineage: Bacteria; Bacillati; Bacillota; Clostridia; Eubacteriales; Oscillospiraceae.
GUGGAAGUGCAGUAAUGCAUGGAGCUGACUGUUACUAAUAGGUCGAGGGCAUAACCAAA